This 499-nucleotide ribosomal RNA is filed under the name uncultured bacterium. RNAcentral describes it as "bacterial SSU rRNA". It matches the Rfam family "Bacterial small subunit ribosomal RNA", at positions 8 to 496 of the family's 1533-position model. The record is from RNAcentral.
AGAGUUUGAUCAUGGCUCAGAUUGAACGCUGGCGGCAGGCUUAACACAUGCAAGUCGAACGGUAACAGGAAGAAGCUUGCUUCUUUGCUGACGAGUGGCGGACGGGUGAGUAAUGUCUGGGAAACUGCCUGAUGGAGGGGGAUAACUACUGGAAACGGUAGCUAAUACCGCAUAACGUCGCAAGACCAAAGAGGGGGACCUUCGGGCCUCUUGCCAUCGGAUGUGCCCAGAUGGGAUUAGCUAGUAGGUGGGGUAACGGCUCACCUAGGCGACGAUCCCUAGCUGGUCUGAGAGGAUGACCAGCCACACUGGAACUGAGACACGGUCCAGACUCCUACGGGAGGCAGCAGUGGGGAAUAUUGCACAAUGGGCGCAAGCCUGAUGCAGCCAUGCCGCGUGUAUGAAGAAGGCCUUCGGGUUGUAAAGUACUUUCAGCGGGGAGGAAGGGAGUAAAGUUAAUACCUUUGCUCAUUGACGUUACCCGCAGAAGAAGCACCGG